CCCAUGCUACUCCUAGCUCACUUAG
Molecule: transfer RNA, 25 nt
Filed under: Aporrectodea trapezoides
Lineage: Eukaryota; Metazoa; Annelida; Clitellata; Crassiclitellata; Lumbricidae
Description: partial tRNA-Asn
Source: RNAcentral